GAGACAUCAAAUGAUCCAGCAGCAGAUUGUCUGUAUUUGCUGAGAUGCAUCAUCGUGUCUGUGGGUUUAGCAGCACUCUUAAUAUCUGCUGUUACAGUCAACAUGUGGACAAAAACUAAAGGAAACAAAACACAGACUGAAGAAAACACUGUCAGUCUGAACUCUCAAUAUACUCUAAUUUCUGUUACUGUUACUGUGCCAGACCCAGGGGAAAUCUGGACCAACAGGAAGCGAUACACAGACUAAGGGGCACUGCAAAGCCAUUCAUAUAGAAACUGUGGAUUAACAGAGAGGACACCGAAGCUAGUGUCUUGCUUGAGCCGGAGCUCUUUUAUUUCUGAGCUACAAUUCCCUCAUUCACUCAUGUACACAGUACAAAUCAAAUUAAUCCCAAUUUCUCUAAAAAUAAAUAAAUAAAUACAUUUCGCUAACAACAGUAAAUAAAGUUAUUUAAAGCAUUCUUACCAAACCCCCCAAAAUUUAAAUGAAUUCAGAUAAUUAAACCUAUAUUCACAUUUAUUUCUGAGCUUAAGGGCUUAAACAGCACC
This is a long non-coding RNA of Haplochromis burtoni (Burton's mouthbrooder), 548 nucleotides long. RefSeq lists it as uncharacterized. Lineage: Eukaryota; Metazoa; Chordata; Actinopteri; Cichliformes; Cichlidae. The transcript has 3 exons. The record is from RefSeq and is a predicted model, not a curated record.